ACUCCGUCAUCCAGGCUGGAGUGCAGUGGCUCUAUCUCAGCUCAUUGCAACCUCUGCCUCCCAAGUUCAAGUGAUUCUUCUGCCUCAGCCUCCCGAGUAGCUGGGAUUACACGACCACCAUGCCCAGGUGGUUCUUGCUAUGUUGCCCUGGCUGGUCUUCAACCCUUAGCCUCAAGUGAUCCUCCUGCCUCAGCCUCCCGAGUAGCUGGGAUUACAGAUACCUUGACUAUGAAUAAUAGUUUCAAUAAGGAAGACAGAAUGAGUUCUGACACGAUGGUUGGGAGCUGUGACAGGCAGACGAAAAAUGGAGCCAAAUGGCAUGGAGGUGCUGAAAGCAAUAUGUUUCACCAUACGGACUAUU
Molecule: long non-coding RNA, 361 nt
Filed under: Homo sapiens (human)
Lineage: Eukaryota; Metazoa; Chordata; Mammalia; Primates; Hominidae
Description: HSALNT0313185
Source: RNAcentral